This 695-nucleotide ribosomal RNA is filed under the name uncultured Planctomycetota bacterium. Its description in RNAcentral is "bacterial SSU rRNA". It matches the Rfam family "Bacterial small subunit ribosomal RNA", at positions 67 to 764 of the family's 1533-position model. The record is from RNAcentral. Lineage: Bacteria; Pseudomonadati; Planctomycetota.
UUUUAUUGAAGCUUCGGCUGAUUUAAGAGAUGGAAAGCGGCGAAAGGGAGAGUAACGCGUGGAUAUCUGCCCCCGGGUCCGGGAUAGCUGCGGGAAACUGCAGGUAAUACCGGAUAAUGUUUCCGAACCAAAGGUGUGAUUCCGCCUGGGGAUGAAUCCGCGUCCUAUUAGCUUGUUGGUGGGGUAAUGGCCUACCAAGGCGAUGAUGGGUACCGGGUGUGAGAGCAUGGCCCGGCUCACUGGGACUGAGACACUGCCCAGACACCUACGGGUGGCUGCAGUCGAGAAUCUUCGGCAAUGGACGCAAGUCUGACCGAGCGAUGCCGCGUGCGGGAUGAAGGCCCUCGGGUUGUAAACCGCUGUCAGAGGGGAUGAAAUGCAUGGGGGUUAUCCCCUGUGUUUGACAUAUCCUCAGAGGAAGUACGGGCUAAGUUCGUGCCAGCAGCCGCGGUAAGACGAACCGUACAAACGUUAUUCGGAAUCACUGGGUUUAAAGGGUGCGCAGGCGGCCUGACAAGUUGGGUGUGAAAUCCCUCGGCUCAACCGAGGAACUGCGCCCAAAACUGUCAGGCUAGAGGGAGAUAGAGGUGAGCGGAACUUAUGGUGGAGCGGUGAAAUGCGUUGAUAUCAUAAGGAACACCAGUAGCGAAGGCGGCUCACUGGAUCUCUUCUGACGCUCAGGCACGAAAGCUAGG